GACGAACGCUGGCGGCGUGCUUAACACAUGCAAGUCGAACGGAAAGGCCCUGCUUGCAGGGUGCUCGAGUGGCGAACGGGUGAGUAACACGUGGGUGAUCUGCCCCUUACUUUGGGAUAAGCCUGGGAAACUGGGUCUAAUACUGGAUAGGACCAUGCUGGAGGUGGUGUGGUGGAAAGAUUAGUUUCGGUAAGGGAUGAGCUCGCGGCCUAUCAGCUUGUUGGUGGGGUAAUGGCCUACCAAGGCGUCGACGGGUAGCCGGCCUGAGAGGGUGGACGGCCACAUUGGGACUGAGAUACGGCCCAGACUCCUACGGGAGGCAGCAGUGGGGAAUAUUGCACAAUGGGCGCAAGCCUGAUGCAGCGACGCCGCGUGGGGGAUGACGGCCUUCGGGUUGUAAACUCCUUUCAGCCAUGACGAAGCCCUUGUGGUGACGGUAGUGGUAGAAGAAGCACCGGCUAACUACGUG
Molecule: ribosomal RNA, 469 nt
Filed under: uncultured bacterium
Lineage: Bacteria
Description: partial 16S ribosomal RNA
Rfam family: Bacterial small subunit ribosomal RNA
Source: RNAcentral